GGGUUCCUUUGCAACUCUAGAGAUAGAGCCUUCCCCUUCGGGGGACAAAGUGACAGGUGGUGCAUGGUUGUCGUCAGCUCGUGUCGUGAGAUGUUGGGUUAAGUCCCGCAACGAGCGCAACCCUUAAGCUUAGUUGCCAUCAUUAAGUUGGGCACUCUAGGUUGACUGCCGGUGACAAACCGGAGGAAGGUGGGGAUGACGUCAAAUCAUCAUGCCCCUUAUGAUUUGGGCUACACACGUGCUACAAUGGACAAUACAAAGGGCAGCUAAACCGCGAGGUCAUGCAAAUCCCAUAAAGUUGUUCUCAGUUCGGAUUGUAGUCUGCAACUCGACUACAUGAAGCUGGAAUCGCUAGUAAUCGUAGAUCAGCAUGCUACGGUGAAUACGUUCCCGGGUCUUGUACACACCGAUA
This 412-nucleotide ribosomal RNA is filed under the name uncultured Staphylococcus sp. Its description in RNAcentral is "bacterial SSU rRNA". It matches the Rfam family "Bacterial small subunit ribosomal RNA", at positions 983 to 1395 of the family's 1533-position model. Lineage: Bacteria; Bacillati; Bacillota; Bacilli; Caryophanales; Staphylococcaceae. The record is from RNAcentral.